RNAcentral lists this ribosomal RNA (481 nucleotides) under uncultured bacterium. RNAcentral describes it as "partial 16S ribosomal RNA". It matches the Rfam family "Bacterial small subunit ribosomal RNA", at positions 28 to 507 of the family's 1533-position model. The record is from RNAcentral.
GAUGAACGCUGGCGGCGUGCUUAACACAUGCAAGUCGAACGGAGCGCUUUAUUUGAUUUCCUUCGCGGCUGAUUAUUUUGUAACUGAGUGGCGGAGGGGUGAGUAACGCGUGUGUAACCUGCCUUGUACAGGGCGAUAGCAGUUGGACACGGCUGCUAAUACCGCAUAAGCGCACAGCAUCGCAUGAUGCAGUGUGAAAAAAUCCGGUGGUAUAAGAUGGACUCGCGUUUGAUUAGCUAGUUGGUGAGGUAACGGCCCAACAAGGCGACGAUCCAGAGCCGACGUGAGAGGGUGCCCCGACACAUGGGGACUGACACACGGCCGAAACUUCGACGGGGCGGCGCAGUGGGAAAUAUUGCACUAGGCGAGAAACCCUGAUGGAGCGACGGCGUGGGAGCGGAGAGGUAUUUGGGUAUGUAAUGCUCUAUCAGGAGGGGAGAUAAUGACGGUACCUGACGAAGAAGCACCGGCUAACUCCGUG